GCGUUGGUUGUCCAAGUUUAAGGUGGUAGGCUGAAAUCUUAGGUAAAUCCGGGGUUUCAAGGCCGAGAGCUGAUGACGAGUCGUCUUUUAGAUGACGAAGUGGUUGAUGCCAUGCUUCCAAGAAAAGCUUCUAAGCUUCAGGUAACCAGGAACCGUACCCCAAACCGACACAGGUGGUCGGGUAGAGAAUACCAAGGCGCUUGAGAGAACUCGGGUGAAGGAACUAGGCAAAAUGGCACCGUAACUUCGGGAGAAGGUGCGCCGGCUAGGGUGAAGGAUUUACUCCGUAAGCUCGGGCUGGUCGAAGAUACCAGGCCGCUGCGACUGUUUAUUAAAAACACAGCACUCUGCAAACACGAAAGUGGACGUAUAGGGUGUGACGCCUCCCCGGUGCCGGAAGGUUAAUUGAUGGGGUUAGCGCAAGCGAAGCUCUUGAUCGAAGCCCCGGUAAACGGCGGCCGUAACGAUAACGGUCCUAAGGUAGCGAAAUUCCUUGUCGGGUAAGUUCCGACCUGCACGAAUGGCGUAACGAUGGCGGCGCUGUCUCCACCCGAGACUCAGUGAAAUUGAAAUCGCUGUGAAGAUGCAGUGUAUCCGCGGCUAGACGGAAAGACCCCGUGAACCUUUACUGUAGCUUUGCACUGGACUUUGAGCCUGCUUGUGUAGGAUAGGUGGGAGGCUUUGAAGCGUGGACGCCAGUUCGCGUGGAGCCAUCCUCGAAAUACCACCCUGGCAUGCUUGAGGUUCUAACUCUGGUCCGUAAUCCGGAUCGAGGACAGUGUAUGGUGGGCAGUUUGACUGGGGCGGUCUCCUCCUAAAGAGUAACGGAGGAGUACGAAGGUGCGCUCAGACCGGUCGGAAAUCGGUCGCAGAGUAUAAAGGCAAAAGCGCGCUUGACUGCGAGACAGACACGUCGAGCAGGUACGAAAGUAGGUCUUAGUGAUCCGGUGGUUCUGUAUGGAAGGGCCAUCGCUCAACGGAUAAAAGGUACUCCGGGGAUAACAGGCUGAUACCGCCCAAGAGUUCAUAUCGACGGCGGUGUUUGGCACCUCGAUGUCGGCUCAUCACAUCCUGGGGCUGAAGCCGGUCCCAAGGGUAUGGCUGUUCGCCAUUUAAAGUGGUACGCGAGCUGGGUUUAGAACGUCGUGAGACAGUUCGGUCCCUAUCUGCCGUGGACGUUUGAGAUUUGAGAGGGGCUGCUCCUAGUACGAGAGGACCGGAGUGGACGAACCUCUGGUGUUCCGGUUGUCACGCCAGUGGCAUUGCCGGGUAGCUAUGUUCGGAAAAGAUAACCGCUGAAAGCAUCUAAGCGGGAAACUUGCCUCAAGAUGAGAUCUCACUGGGAACUUGAUUCCCCUGAAGGGCCGUCGAAGACUACGACGUUGAUAGGCUGGGUGUGUAAGCGUUGUGAGGCGUUGAGCUAACCAGUACUAAUUGCCCGUGAGG
Molecule: ribosomal RNA, 1446 nt
Filed under: metagenome
Description: bacterial LSU rRNA
Rfam family: Bacterial large subunit ribosomal RNA
Source: RNAcentral